GGUUUAUGAGCUAUCAGUCUCCUGCGAGGAAUGUUGCUGGCUCUCGCAUAGCGGGGGCAUGUGCACGUUCCGUCAACACAUCCACUCACACCUGUGCACCCUUUGCGGUUCUGUGGUCUGGGAGACCCUCGGUCUCUCUGCCGCGGUUCUGCGUCUUUACACAUACGCCGUAGCAAAGUCUUGUGGAAUGUGCGCCGCGUUUAACGCAAUAAAAUACAACUUUCAGCAACGGAUCUCUUGGCUCUCGCAUCGAUGAAGAACGCAGCGAAAUGCGAUAAGUAAUGUGAAUUGCAGAAUUCAGUGAAUCAUCGAAUCUUUGAACGCACCUUGCGCCCCUUGGACAUUCCGAGGGGCAUGCCUGUUUGAGUAUCAUGAACACCUCAACUCUCUACGGUUUGCCGUGGUGAGCUUGGACUUUGGAGGCUUGCUGGCCCACGGUCGGCUCCUCUCAAAUGAAUCAGCUUCCCAGUGUUUGGUGGCGUCACGGGUGUGAUAACUAUCUACGCUCGCGGCAGCCUGCCUCGUAACCUUCGGAGACGGAGGUUCGCUGGAGCUCAAAAACGUCUCUCCUCAGCGAAGACAGCUUUUUUAACGUUCGAUCUCAAAUCAGGUAGGACUACCCGCUGAACUUAAGCAUAUCAAUAAGCGGAGGAAAAGAAACUAACAAGGAUUCCCCUAGUAACUGCGAGUGAAGCGGGAAGAGCUCAAAUUUAAAAUCUGGCGUCCUCUGGUCGUCCGAGUUGUAGUCUGGAGAAGCGUUUUCCGUGCUGGACCGUGUACAAGUCUCCUGA
RNAcentral lists this ribosomal RNA (791 nucleotides) under uncultured Thelephoraceae. RNAcentral's name for it is "eukaryotic LSU rRNA". The stretch from base 218 to 372 matches the Rfam family "5.8S ribosomal RNA". Lineage: Eukaryota; Fungi; Basidiomycota; Agaricomycetes; Thelephorales; Thelephoraceae. The record is from RNAcentral.